This 72-nucleotide transfer RNA is filed under the name Camelus dromedarius (Arabian camel). It matches the Rfam family "tRNA". Rfam says of the family: Transfer RNA (tRNA) molecules are approximately 80 nucleotides in length. Their secondary structure includes four short double-helical elements and three loops (D, anti-codon, and T loops). Lineage: Eukaryota; Metazoa; Chordata; Mammalia; Artiodactyla; Camelidae. RNAcentral also lists the same sequence under 1 other name. The record is from Rfam by way of RNAcentral.
GAAGGCAUAGCUCAGUGGUAGAGUGCAUGUUUAGCAUGCAUGAGGUCCCCCGUUCAAUCCCCAGUGCCUCCA